This 248-nucleotide ribosomal RNA is filed under the name uncultured bacterium. Its description in RNAcentral is "partial 16S ribosomal RNA". It matches the Rfam family "Bacterial small subunit ribosomal RNA", at positions 1244 to 1500 of the family's 1533-position model. The record is from RNAcentral.
GGGCAGCUACCCAGCAAUGGGAUGCGAAUCUCGAGAGCCUGUCUCAGUUCGGAUUGGAGGCUGAAACCCGCCUCCAUGAAGUUGGAUUCGCUAGUAAUCGCGCAUCAGCCAUGGCGCGGUGAAUACGUUCCCGGGCCUUGUACACACCGCCCGUCAAGCCAUGGGAGCCGGGGGUGCCUGAAGUUCGUGACCGCAAGGAGCGACCUAGGGCAAAACUGGUGACUGGGGCUAAGUCGUAACAAGGUAGC